AUCAGCAUGGCUCAGGAGGUAGAGCGGUUGGUUUAGGAAUCAGUAGGUUCCUGGUUCGAUCCCUGACUCCUCCUGAGA
Gymnothorax javanicus (giant moray) is the source of this 78-nucleotide non-coding RNA. The record is from the annotation of a GenBank genome assembly. Lineage: Eukaryota; Metazoa; Chordata; Actinopteri; Anguilliformes; Muraenidae.